Molecule: long non-coding RNA, 752 nt
Organism: Pipra filicauda (Wire-tailed manakin)
Lineage: Eukaryota; Metazoa; Chordata; Aves; Passeriformes; Pipridae
Exons: 3
Source: RefSeq, a predicted model, not a curated record
GCUCGCUCUAACACUGCACAGCAAGUAGUGCCUGUGGGGGGGGACAGGCACCCUCACCGCUGCCUUUUCCAAGUGCUUCUCGUCGCCAAACGCAUUUCACGGACGUUUUCUUUCCAUUUCUCGUCACUUCCAAAGCCUUUGCACGCACAGAGCGGCUGCAAAGCUCUCAGGGACCGGGAAAUAAACGAGAUGAAAGCACGUCGGGUUAAAGAGCCUUGAAAAGAUUUCGCAACGGGAAGGAGGAAGAAGCUGCGAAUCUCUGAAGUGCCGGCCCAGGGAAUAAAGGCACCGUCAUUCCUCUGGGAAGUUUUGGGGAGCCCUUCCCAACGAGAGGGGCACAGUUCCAGCUCUGGUGUUGGGCUGAUGGUGUCCUCAGGACUACAGAUCUUGUCUAUAAAACCACUGUGAAAGCCACCCCAAAGAGAUGUGUUCCCGUCUGUCUGUCUGCCUGUCUGUUACAGUGGUCAAACAAUUUUAACAAAAGCUGAUCAACAGUGUUUGAAUUGGAGAGAAGAAAGGAAGGAAAUGAUGUGUGGACAGGGAGAGUCAAUCAUCUGAAAGAUCAGUUCCAACAGAUUCAUGGAAAUUAACCUCUUUCAUCAUCAUCAGUCACCAGUGAUGCUCCUGCAGGCCCUUGGCUACACAAACAAGGACUGGGCAAACCAGGAAAAUUCAGGACCAAAGUUAGUGGGGUGCACAUUAUUUUAGCACCCAAACUGAGUUCCAGGAGAAAAGCCAGUAUGGUCAAAUAA